This is a non-coding RNA of Rhinolophus ferrumequinum (greater horseshoe bat), 561 nucleotides long. Lineage: Eukaryota; Metazoa; Chordata; Mammalia; Chiroptera; Rhinolophidae. The record is from the annotation of a RefSeq genome assembly.
AUGUGUGUGGUCAAGCUGCAGGUGGGCCUGGGCAGGGGGUGGAAUGGUGACAGGAGGUUUGUGUGUGAGUCUGUAUCAUAGUGUAUUGUGUUCGGCGGAUGGACCCAGCUGACCGUCUCAGGUCAGCCCAAGUCUGCGCCCUCGGUCACUCUGUUCCCGCCCUCCUCUGAGGAGCUCAGCGCCAACAAGGCCACACUGGUGUGUCUCAUCAGUGACUUCUACCUCGGCGGCGUGACCGUGGCCUGGAAGGCAGACGGCACCGUCGUCACCCAGGGCGUGAAGACCACCAAGCCCUGGAAACAGAGCAACAACAAGUACGCGGCCAGCAGCUACCUGAGCCUGACGGCCGACAAGUGGAAAUCUAGCAGCAGAUACAGCUGCCAGGUCACGCACGAUGGGAAAACCGUGGAGAAGACAGUGGAACCCUCAGCGUGUUCUUAGGACGCUGAGCACCCCCACCCUCGGGGCAUUGGAGACACAGGACCCCCGGAGGAUCACCUGUCCCAAACCUCCCUCGACCCUCUUCCCAAACCCAAUUAACUCCCAAUAAAAUGUCCUCAU